RNA transcript from Epinephelus fuscoguttatus (brown-marbled grouper), 4615 nucleotides. It is a transcript of the gene named ganglioside induced differentiation associated protein 1-like 1, with no coding region annotated. Lineage: Eukaryota; Metazoa; Chordata; Actinopteri; Perciformes; Serranidae. The record is from RefSeq and is a predicted model, not a curated record. The transcript has 7 exons.
UUUACUUUCUUGUUUGUUUGUUUUUAGCCAGUAGGCCUAUCUAAAGGCAUAUUGACACCAUAUAUUGACACCAUGGCAGGAGUCCUGGGGUCUACAGCCUCCAUGUGUCCUUACAGUGAGCCGCUUGACCUUCCAAUGAAACGCUCCCUCCGCGCGUUUCCACCGCGCAUGUUUGUGCGUGGCCCAUCAUGUGAUGCAAUAGGCUACGGUUACACAUUGAUUUAUUGUAAGUGAAGCAGCAUGCUCGAGUAAGACGCUGUCUGCAUUUGGAUUUGUUAUGAUGUUAUAAAAAUCUGUCCGCAUUUGGAGGUGAAGCCGAUUCCAGCACGGGAGCUGUCCGACACUGACGGAUGCUGCUGGCGCGUGAACCGAUGAUGCUGAGCUCGAGCUGCUGAAAUCCUCCUCCUCCUCCUCCUCUCUCUGUUUCUCUCUCUCUCACCUCUUCUCUCCCUCCUCGCUCCUCUCCUCUCCUCCACACGCACAAAACGCUCUGUCAUGGCGUCUUCCAACCAUGUUACCCCCACCAACUGUAGCUGGUGGCCCAUCUCAGCCAUGGAUGAAGACGGCAAAAUCACAGACGGGGAGGAGUGCGAAGAACCGACGGCAGAGCCCAAACCCUUCAAUAAAGACAGGCUGGUUUUGUACCACUGGACGCAGUCUUUCACCUCUCAGAAGGUACGUCUAGUGAUUAAUGAGAAGGGUCUGGUCUGCGAGGAGAGGGAUGUGAGCUUGCCGCUGCAGGAGCACAAGGAGCCCUGGUUCAUGAGGCUGAACCUGGGCGAGGAGGUGCCCGUCUUCCUCCACGGCGACACCAUCAUCAGUGACUACAACCAGAUUAUAGAUUACCUGGAGAAAAACUUUGUGGGAGACACGGUGGCUCAGCUGGUUCCUGACGCAGACUCGCCUCUCCACGAUCGAGUGCAGCAGUACCGUCAGCUACUGGAUGGCCUCCCAAUGGACGCUUACACACACGGCUGCAUCCUCCAUCCGGAGCUCACCACCGACUCUAUGAUCCCAAAGUACGCCACCGCAGAAAUACGUAGACACCUGGCGAACGCUGCGACGGAGCUGAUGAAGUUGGACCACGAGGAGCCUCAGCUGACAGAACCGUACCUUUCCAAGCAGAAGAAGCUCAUGGCAAAAAUCUUGGACCACGAUAAUGUGAACUACCUGAAGAAAAUUCUGGGGGAGUUAGCCAUGGUUCUAGAUCAAGUGGAGGCCGAGCUGGAGAAAAGAAAACUAGAGUAUCAAGGUCAGAAGUGUGAGUUGUGGCUAUGUGGACCUGAAUUUACACUAGCUGACGUCUGCCUCGGAGCCUUGUUGCACAGGCUCAAGUUCUUGGGACUUUCUAAGAAAUACUGGGAGGACGGCAGCCGACCCAACCUGCAGUCCUUUUUUGUGCGUGUGCAAAAACGCUACGCUUUCCGCAAGGUCUUGGGCGACAUCCACACGACCCUUCUGUCGGCGGUCCUACCCAACGCCUUCCGGAUGGUAAAAAAGAAGCCACCGUCCUUCUUCGGGGCCUCUUUUCUCAUGGGCUCGCUGGGAGGGAUGGGCUACUUUGCCUACUGGUAUUUAAAAAAGAAAUACAUGUAGUGAAUGCCCUCUUGUUGUGUUAAAUGUCUGUGUAUUUGUGUGAUGUUUCAACUUUUCUGUAAUGUUUUAUGACUGCAGGAAAACAUAAUGAAUCUAUAUAGAGAACACUAUUACUUACCUGGGUGAACAAAGAAUAUUAAAACAUUCCAUAAUAAGAAAUCCUUGACAGCACAUUUUCUGGUAAUCAAGGCCUUCAUCGACUUUAAUUUCUGGCAACUUGCGGCCGGCAAGUCUUUGUUUAACUUUUGUUGGAGGCAUGCAUCGGGUCUUCUUACACUGAAAAACUUAAAGAAGAAACCCAGACAAAAUGUUAAACACAGUAACACCAACAGGAGUUAACUGACCUUCGCAUGCCACUAUUAUAGUCAUUACUCAUACCUGCUCUUCACUCCUCCAUCAGCCUGAGGUUUAUCCAGUGAAACCGCAGGAAAAUGUUACAUGACAAAUACUUUCUGAUAAGUGCUGUGCUGCCAGAAACUGCCACAUGAAGUGAUGAAAGGAUGGAGGCAAACUUUAACGGAGUAGUUCGACAUUUUAGGGAAUUUGCUUAUUCGCUUUCUAGCAGAGACUCAGAUGUUUGGAUUGAUAGCACUCUCAUGUCUGUCCAUUGAAUAUGAAGCCACAGCCAGGAGAUGCUUAGCUUAGCUCAGCAUUACGACUCGAAGCAAGGGGAAACAGAAAGCCCACACUUGGCCCCAAACAGGGGCGCACCACCAGUAGAGGUAAAUCAGGCAAAUGUUUGGGCCCCAAAAAAGAAGAGGGGUCCUCAAUGUCCUCUCAUAGUAGCACAUUCUGUACGGUGGUGCAGUAGUUAGCAUUGUCGCCUCACAGCAAGAGAGGGCCUGGUUCAAACCCGGGGUGGGGGAGCCCUUCAGUGUGGGUUUUCUCCAGGUACUCCGGCUUCCUCCCACAGUCCAAAGACAUGCAGGUUAACUGGUGACUCUAAAUUGUCCGUAGGUGUGAAUGUGAGUGUGAAUGGUUGUCUGUCUCUAUGUGUCAGCCCUGUGAUAGUCUGGUGACCUGUCCAGGGUGUACCCUGCCUCUCGCCCAAUGUCACCCAGGACACCUAACACGAUAAGUAGUUACAGAAAAUUAAUGAAUGAAUACUUAAGUUUGAAAACCCAGCUCGGUCUCCUUCACGAUCUCGGUACGAGACAACCUAGGUGGUGACAUUUCUUGACACUCCGGGCAACUACUGUAGAGCAAGAAAGUCUGCAUGCAGUGAGUGGGUCAAACAAACUCAAGACUUUCACCUGGGAGACGCUGUUCAUGUCUUCUGUGAAACCAAAAGUCAAUCAAGUUAUUUUAAAAACGACAUUAUGUGCUAGUGUGUUUAGCAAACUAUGCUGGUGGCAUAUGUCACAUGACGUUAUAUUACAUUAGUAACAAACAUACUUAUUUGAAGCGAAACCAUGAUGUUUUUUUCUCAACCUAACCACGCCCUUUGUUGCCUACAGUGGUUUCAAACUUUUUGUGCCCAAGACACACCAAAGGGCACACCUGUAUUUAUAUCUGUGCACAUAUAUAUAACACAUGUAAUUAUCUUAUCAGGACAUAAGACAAAAAACUAAGACAGGUAGCUUUUAUGAUACUGUCUACUGUUUUUUCUUCUCUUCUCUUUCAGCGGUAGGUCGUCUUCGCUGGUGGUUUGUUGUAAUUUCCUUUGUACAAUAAAGCUGUUAAUUGUCCCAAUCACAGCUUCCUCCUUUUAAAUGUUAUCAUCCCUCACACUGGCUGCCGAUCAGGGCUUCUGAUGUGUCACACAUGUGUAAUUCCCUCACAUGAAAGGCGACAAAUUAGGGUUUUUUAAUUUGAUUUGUAUUACACUUUGUAGCUAGAGUUGCCCCUUUGUAUACUGUAUACUGAUACAGUCAAUUAAAAAUUCAUUCAUAACUUUUCAUAUAGGCCCAGUUGAAUAUUGCUGUAAUAAUGCGGUUAUCACAAAAUACCAUGGCACACCUGGAUUGGCAUCACAGCACACCAGUGUGCAGCGGGACACCAUUUGAGAAACAGUGGUUGCCCAAAACGUAAGGAAGUCAACCUAAAAACAAAUGUUUUUACCUACGUUCUAAGUUAAUUUCUUAGAGUUUAUUUUAAGAGACAAUGCAUGUAACAACCAAAACUUGACAGAACGUUCUUUCAGUGUAACAGGAAAGAAGAAAGUUGACUGAGACUCCAGGCUUGCUCAACUCUUAUUGGAAGACAAAGCGAGAAGGGGCAGGACUUAUAAAGGGCUAACUGAAUUUGAGCAACAUGAAUCUUUUUUUAUUCUAAAACUUGAAUUUCUGGAUCUGAAUUUGUUAACACUGAAAAAGAUAAAUUCAAAUUCAGAGAAAGAAAUCUUGUGUUUUAAUUUAAGAGGUAAACUAGAUCAAAUACAUUCAGAACCAAGGUUUUCAAAGUAAAAUAAUUCAGUUCAAUUCAAUCUUUUCUUUGUCACAUGGAAUUCUACCAAGUAAAACUGCAGAGAAAUGUGAUCCAUCAGCUCCUUUCACUUGUGCACUGUAGUUAAGCCCCUUUCUUGCGUCGUCUUACAUUGUUGGCUGCUGCUGUAUAAUCCAUCUUUCCGGAUGGUUCUAUUCAUCCAUGGCUUCUGGUUGUGGAACAAUUUAAUUUCAUUUAAUACUUCAAUGAUUUGAGUUCAGUUGUGUUUAAAUUGAAAUAUUAAGUCAUCAGUGCCUGUUAAAACUCAAAUACUUAUGGGUCUUAUUUGCUUCCAUACACACAGAGAGAAAUAAAGUAAUCAAAUGCAGUAUUUGCAUCUACACGUAUGUAAGUAUAUGUGUUUAACCCUUUGUGCUUUUGUUGUCCAGUCUGCUGGAAUUUCAAGAUACUCCCGCACUGCUCCUUUACGCCAACAUCUUGUUUCUUUUGGCUCUCUGCCUCUGAUAGUCAGUUUACUGAUUUCUAUCAUUAGUGCGUGACUUCAUUGUUUUGUUUAGUUGCUGCCACAAGUUCCACCAAGGCAUUAUGUUCUCAGAUGACAUCCCGUCCAGAAAUGCCUCACGUUAUUGUUGGA